GCCGCGGGAGCAUGGGGGAGCCGCCACACAAAGUGCUGGACGUGUGUGCGUGAGUAUCUGUGUGCGGUGGGGCGAAGGUGAAGCAUGCGAUGGCGAUGGCGAUGGUUGGCUUGGCUUGGCUGGCUCGGCUGGCUCGGCUGGCUCGGUUUGGCUUGACUUCGCUCUUGGCUCCGAAACACAGGCAAGUCGGCGACGCUGAUGGAAAAUAAGAGGAAAAAAAUAUAAAAUACGAAUAACCAGCAAAUGAACGAACCAGCGCCAGUCGGAGCAACAAAAAUGCUGAAUAAAAGCGUCGAGGCAAGAGGCACCAACGAGGACGUCGCUGGCGAUGGCGACUCUUGCAACUGAAACCAGGCUGGCAGGCUGGCAGUCAGGCAGCGGCAACAUCAGCAGGCUUAGCCCCAGACUAGGCCAAGAAAAAGAAAAUAAAAUGGGGAAAAUGACACCGAAAUGGGAAUACUCUGGGAGUCGAUCCAAGGGCGAUCGAAAAAAGUUUGGGCUCAUUGAUAUUUGGAGUAUUCCUUGCUAGGGAACAUAACAUCAUCAGAGCCAGAGCCAGAGCCAUAGAGACAGUCAUCGGCGGAGCUGGAGUUGGAGUCGGUCCUCGAGUCAGAGACGUUGUUGUCGUCAUCGCCGCACCGACUGCUCUGAGACCGGACCAGAAACGAGAAUAAGGCCGGGACCGAGAACCCAGAGCUGUCAGCCAUCCAAGCCGACGAUGAACAACCAACAACCAACAGCCAACAACGAACAACGACCACGGCAGCGACCGAGCCGAGCCAACAUUAAAGUUAAAGUAAAGUUGGAAUUUGUGCCUCAACGGGCGCUCGGUUCUCUACAUCCUUCCUCCCCCCAAGCCGCCUUUUGUAAUCAGAAUAAACGAAAAUUCGCUUAAGCCAAGCCAGGCACAGUGGAGUACAUUGUUGGACAAAGGUUGUUAAUUAAUGAAGGCCCAAUUGCUGGACUCGGAAAGUAAAGGUGUAUUAAAAAAUUAAAUUAACUAAAAAUUUAAAAAUAAGGUACAUUUCAUUGUAUUCUAGUAUCCGUAUUUUUGAUUGGAUGUUUUAUUUCUUCGACUAUCGUCCACACUAAUUGGAAGUUGGUAUGAUGUUCAAGAAAUAUUAUAUUUUUGUUUCCUGAAAUAAGAAAUCAUUUGUUGAAGAACCAAAAUUAAAUAUAGAAAUCCAAAGUUGA
Molecule: long non-coding RNA, 1194 nt
Organism: Drosophila ananassae
Lineage: Eukaryota; Metazoa; Arthropoda; Insecta; Diptera; Drosophilidae
Exons: 2
Source: RefSeq, a predicted model, not a curated record